Molecule: long non-coding RNA, 607 nt
Filed under: Salmo salar (Atlantic salmon)
Lineage: Eukaryota; Metazoa; Chordata; Actinopteri; Salmoniformes; Salmonidae
Description: lncRNA (ENSSSAG00000119663.1, ENSSSAG00020043151.1)
Source: RNAcentral
GCCAAUCCAUCCCAGCUUGAUGAUGAAAGAGGAUGGUGGUUGAACCAAUUUGCAAGUAGCCUAGCAAUAAGCACAUUAUUAUUCAAUGUAUUAAGUGUGGAGUCAAUUGAGGGGCCUAGCCUAUAUUUCAUGAAGCCACUAGAACACUGUUGCUGACAGAGUCUGGCAGUAACCAAGAACAAUCAGAGGCAGAAGAUCCCUCUUUCAGCUGCUGCUGACAACUGCAUAUAACAGGUAGAUAGGCCAGUGGCAAAGGAGUUGUGGCUGGUUCGAAUCCUGGGUCUGGCGCUGAAGAAAAAAAAACAGGCAGAAUUGAUCUGACAACUGGAGGGCUGCUGGAUUCACAUCCUCAAAAGGUUCUCCUACUGUUUGGUCCUUGAGCAAGGUCCUUAACCACACAAGAUGUGCUAGUCUCAACUGUAUGUGUCUGCUUUUUGGGGGAGUUGAGAACAGAGCAGAAGACACAUUUUUGUUGUUCAUUGUAACUAAAUGGACAAAGUAUAUUCUAUUAUAAAGAAGUCAGCCAUUCAAACAAAGAGAUGCCUUCCACCAGUGCAUAUUUCCAAAUGAUGUUUGCAUAUGACAAUAAAUUCUAAAACUAUGCUGG